CUCGACAACGGAUAUCUUGGCUCUUGCAUUGAUGAAGAACGUAGUGAAAUGCAAUACUUGGUGUGAACUGCAGAAUUCGUGAACCAUCAAGUUUUUGAACGCAAGUUGCGCCCAAAGCCUUCUGGCCAAGGGCACGUCUUCUUGGGCAUCAUG
This 153-nucleotide ribosomal RNA is filed under the name Begonia formosana. RNAcentral describes it as "5.8S ribosomal RNA". It matches the Rfam family "5.8S ribosomal RNA". Rfam says of the family: 5.8S ribosomal RNA (5.8S rRNA) is a component of the large subunit of the eukaryotic ribosome. It is transcribed by RNA polymerase I as part of the 45S precursor that also contains 18S and 28S rRNA. Lineage: Eukaryota; Viridiplantae; Streptophyta; Magnoliopsida; Cucurbitales; Begoniaceae. The record is from RNAcentral.